GUACACGCUGUGACUAGCAUAUCAAUAAGCGGAGGAAAAGAAACUAACAAGGAUUCCCUUAGUAACGGCGAGUGAAGCGGGAGGAGCUCAAAUUUGAAAUCUUGAAAGGUCACCUUUCACGAAUUGUAGUUUAAAGAAGUGUUUUCUGUUACGAUCGUAAUAUAAGUUCUUUGGAAUAGGACAUCACAGAGGGUGAGAAUCCCGUCUAUGAUUGCGAUUUGUAGCUUUGUGAUACACUUUCAAAGAGUCGGGUUGUUUGGGAAUGCAGCCCAAAACGGGAGGUAAAUUUCUUCUAAGGCUAAAUAUUGGCGAGAGACCGAUAGCGAACAAGUACCGUGAGGGAAAGAUGAAAAGAACUUUGAAAAGAGAGUUAAAUAGUACGUGAAAUUGUCAAAAGGGAAGCGUUUAACACCAGUGUUGUUUUCUGAAAAUCAACCUCUGUUAGCUUUAUGCAUGUUUGUUUAGACCUAAUCAGCUAUCUUGCAUGUUCUAUUGUUUGCAGUGGUGCACUUUUCAGUUUACAGGUCAACAUCAGUUUUUUUUACCGUAAAAAAGUCAAGAAAGGUAGCUCAUGGCUCCGGUCGUGAGUGUUAUAGUCUUUUUCCUAUGCGGUAGGAGAGACUGAGGUCUGCAGUGUAGGCUAUUUGGCUAGAUACUCAGGUGCUAUGUGAUACCAUUUCAUAAACAACUUGUUGAUUAUGUUUUGUCUAUUGCAUACUCGCUUGUACUAUCAUACCUACGCUUAGGAUGUUGAGUAGCGACAUACGCAC
Molecule: ribosomal RNA, 770 nt
Filed under: uncultured Neocallimastigales
Lineage: Eukaryota; Fungi; Neocallimastigomycota; Neocallimastigomycetes; Neocallimastigales
Description: partial large subunit ribosomal RNA
Rfam family: Eukaryotic large subunit ribosomal RNA
Source: RNAcentral